AAAAUAAUUAAAGUCGGCAUCUUGUAUCAUAUUAUAGGCUAUACUGGAAUGUAACCACAAACCAUGAGGUUAACUACGACAUGCUAAAACAAUUAAGCUAAAUUUGGCUUACAUUGCUGCUUGACGUUUGAAAGUUGGCCCAUACAGAAUGAAUCAAAUGGAUGUUACCGUUUGGUCCACCGUUUCUCCAUAAAAACUGUAAGAAAAAUGACAAGACUCUGAUUUAAUACAAAAGUAUGUCAAAAAUGAUUAUAAUUGGAAUAUCCACAGCUGAUUCUAACGCUAGCACUGAUGACUUACAUCAGACAAGGAUUUCAACUUCUCAGAAUUCUGUGCAUGUUCAUUUCUUGAAUUCCAAACCAAGGAAACUUGCACUUUACCUAAAAGGAAAACAAGCAUAUCCUAGCAUUUGAGAGAACCUCUAUGCAAUAUAGAGCUUAUGUAGAAACAGAUUAACACAGAGAGAGAGAGAGAGGGAGAGAGCUUCUGUGUGAACCUUCUCGGUAUCGUUCUGCAGCUGGGAGGGAUGUGUUAUAUGUUGUCACAGCCAUCUGAAGAGUAGGAUUACAGAAUUUAAAAAAAGGCACCUCAACUGAGUUCCUAUUCAGUUCAUUAUAGUCAAACAAAAAACUCAACUCAUUAAUAUGCAUAUAUAAUUUUCAGAUUGGGUUGCUUUUCAAAGAAUACAUAUCUGAAGCCAAUUAUUUCAACCGAAACACUUGUCAAAAAAACAAGCCAGCUGAAUUAGAACCUUCAUGCUUUUGGUGUAAAACCUAAUAUUAAGUGUGGACCUUUAUAGACGUAAGACACUAAUUAAAGAAGACUCAAACAACGCCCAUGUCAUCCUGCGAAGUCUUUACUCCCUUAGUUAAUAAGCAGCUUAAUAAGCAGCUUCAAGUUUAGCAGCUAUAAAAACUAAGCAGAAUAAACUUCCAAUCCAAUCUAGAAAUAUCAAGCCAUCAAGGCCUCCACAAAUAUUCAAUAGUAUAUCUCCAAUUAGAUCGUCAGAUACAGGACACAUUAGAAUGCACAAUUCUAGUGUCACUAAAGUAAUGCUAAAGAUACCUUAAAAUACACCCCAAAAUGCAGCUGAUGAGUCAAAUUUGCACACGUGACAGCUAGUGAUUGAUUUAGCUUUUAAAUUUCAGACAUGAUACCUAAUAUAGAUAUCAAUAUUAAAAAGCUAAAUCAUUCACUAGUUGUCAUAUGUACAAAACUAACUCAUCAACAACAUUAUGGGCUAUAUCAUAAGAUAGUAUUACUUAUAUGAAAAAUUAAUAGAUUCAUCUUCAUCAUGAGGUUUGGAGGGAAUAUUAUAACUUCUGUUGAAGUUCCACCAUCACCAAAAAAUUUUGGAAGUCCAACAAUUAAUUAUAUCCUUGAGUAAACUUUACAAACUAUACCAGUGAAAUACCCAUGUUCGCUAAGAUUUAAAGAAAGAUGUUAGCUACUGGUUUCUCCUAUGUCAGCUCUCGCAUAGAACCAAGUACACUGAUCAUAGUGUAUAGAACUUCUGAUUAGACCAAACUCUGAAUCAAGUGGAACUGUGGAAGACUUUUCAAGUAAACACAAUCAGUCAAAAUCUUAUUACUAGAAUAUACACCUUCCACUGAACAUUUAACUUAAAACAGCUCUUGCACUUCUUUCCGACGGUAUCCUCCAGCAAACCACCAUGGCAAUCAUGCCCCAAGACUUCUUUUAGAGUCCAAAAAUCUAUUCAUUCUUCAAUUGGUGCAUGUGAAACUUGUUAAGAUAAUACUCCCAGCCUUACCUAGUAAGGGUACACUGCUAAAACAAAUAGUAGACACCCUCUUCCACCACCACAUUGUGUAGAAACAGAGUUCCCUUUCAAUGUCUCUUCAACAGAUUGUGUUUUGUUAGAAGGCUCAGAACUCUAUUGUUUAUAGGAAGCUAGUAAUUUGAAAAGCAACCCCAUAAAACCACAGAGCCAAUGAGCUAAUAAUUCUCCAUCAUUAAGAGUUUCGUAACAAGCAUCAUUGCCAAGUUGUUGCACCAGCUGGACACCAAAUUCCCUAGUCUAUAGUAAUAUUAAAACUGUCCAAGCAGAUGAUUGAGCUCAAACUUCUUCUAAACUGUACAUUCUAACUUAGAUGUCUUUUCAUAGAAUUCUUGUAAUAGAAUUUCAAUAUUAAAACUCGCCAAACAUAAGUCCCUUAAUAAGAGAGAGGCCUCCACUUCCACUUGCAUAAUAAAGCGCUAAUAAAAUUCCUUUGGCCCAUCAUUCUUUUUAACCAUCCUAUCUCAGCUCACUUUGACAAUGUCUCCGCAUCCAGUAAAACUUCAUUCUGAUUGUCUGAUUCUACCGAUAACCAUGGAGGCAAUCUAUAAAGAGAUCUAAUAUACAAAGGAAACAGAUAUAACCAAUUUAAGAAGAAUUAAACUUCCAACCAAAGAUGAUAGAGAACUUUCUGACCAGACUAAUUGGGGUCAACUAAUUGGGUUUGAAAAAGGACAUGAAACUGGGAUUCACAAAAGAUUUCACGUACCUCUUCUGAAAUAUAACUUUGAAUAGCCUUUUAUUUCAUUCUUAUGUCAAACGACCAUGCGUCAUUACACGCAACUUACCAUUAUAACUUGUUAACCAAGGAAAUAAAUAAAUAAAUAAAGAUUUGAAUGUAUAUUAUAUAUUAAUGGGUUUCAAAGAGUUUUUGGCUAAAAUUUAGAGCUCAAGGAGCAAAGUGCAGUGACACAAAAAGCACAACGAUGGACAGAUGGAGAUAAAUUUUACCAUCAUUUAAUUGAUAGUCCAAAACAUUAAGCAAUUCACUUAAAUGUGUAGUUGGUGACUAGACUUUUGGGAGACUCUCCACCCAACGAGUGCCCAACCACGCUAACAACCUAGGCAGUCUUUCUCACCUACUAUCUUCAUGACACAAGAAAUAUUAGUUGUCUUAGUUUAGUUAAACCUUUUAGUAACAUAUAAUCAAUAGAUGAGUAUAAAUAGCCACAAUGACAUAAAUAAGAGUGCUAUAGCAAAAGAAUGUAUAAUUACUGAUCAGCUGGAUGUACUAAAGUAAUAAAAAGCAAUAGUGACCUGGACAUAUCUCAAUUCACCGGUACCCAAAUCUUCAUCAAAUGGCUGAAUAUUCAACUUGGAAAUACCUAUGAAAAUUAAAAAUGUCAAAAAAAAAAAAAAAAAAAUCAGAGACCAAUGGAUAUGCAAACAAAAUGCAACAGCUAACUCUUGAGUUAAAAGAGCAUGCCUUGUUUUAGAAGGUCGACUGCAGCAUUGAUGCUUGGAUGAUGUGCUGCAUGAAAGAACAACUCGAUAAAAGAAACAGAUCGCAAGGAGCAAAUUGUGAAAGGUUGCAAGGAAACUAUAUAUCUUAUUGAACUGAUGGCAUGAUAAUGGACAAAAAACCACUUACCAAAACACUCUCAUUAUACAAGUUAUGAUACAAGGAUAACUCUAGCAUCCAAUACAAUAAUUACCACACAUAACAAAUAAAAUAUUGCAAUGACAUAAAUGUUAAUGCAGUUGUUCUCUCUAAAUCAAGACCCUAGCUUUAGGCUGAAGACAAUAGACAGACAAAUCAACUGUACAAAGUAAUUAACGCACCUCUACCUAAAUACUAUCACUAUGGGAGUGAAAUGCUUUAAUUAGAGUACAGACAUACACGCGAGAAAGAGAGAGAGGGAGGGAGGGGGGGCCUUGACAAUUGUCGCAACAUUUUAACUACCAAACAGUUUAUGUAGUGGCAAAAAUAUGAAAAUGUUUUGCUGUCUAACCUCUACAUUGUGGAAUAUCAACAACACUAUGUGUCCCUUCUUGAUAUAGCCCAACCAGCGGGAUCUCUGGCGUUCCGCGUAUAGCAAGCUUUGCGCGACAUCUCCACUCCCACUAGAAGUGCCAUUUAUGGGAAUCAGUAUAUAAGAGAAAGCUGCAUGAAAGUAGCUUACAGCUUUUCCAUAAAAAAAUAAAGCAUAAGAUAUAAAUUAAUAAAAAAACAUUAAAAAGACAUAAUAGUAAAAAUUGUAAAAAAAACAUAUAUGGAGAAAAUAUAAUCAAUAGCUUUUCCAAAUUAAAGUAUAAAACAUCUAACUAUGGCAGAAUACAAAAAAAAAGAGGAACAGUUCUCAUACAUGGACAAUAUAAAGGGUCAGUGGUUCACUAAUAAGCAGAAAGACAAUUAGCCCCUUAACAUGAGGACAUGAAUAAGACAAUGUUAUGGUACUAUCGGUCUCAAGUGAAACUACAAAAUAAACAAAACUUAGUUUUAAGCACCAAAUCUCCAGAACAAAAGCACCGUCAACAACUUUUGAUUAAUUCCACAACCGCAUUAGACAACCUUACCACAUCAGUUCCAAUUGUGUAUGAGUGCGCAUGCGUGCGUGCUUGUUUGCAUGCAUGCAUGCAUCUGUGUAGCCUACAUCUUUGCUUUUAGUUCAUCUCAAAAUCCUAGCAGUCAUAUCUUCCGGUCGAACGUAAUCUGCCUACAAGGUCAUGUGUCUUACUCACAAAAAAUAACUUAAAGGUGGCAUAAACUAGUGCCUGGAACAUCCAAUCAUACUCCUCAUUUACCAAUCACUGCUCUUAACCUUCAGUAAACAAAAAUGUUGUGUGGAACAUGGUGCUCAUGCAUCCAAAAUGGCCACAAAUUCAAAAGUAAGAUUUGAACCCAAGUAUCAAAUUCAAAAUGAUGAAUUUAUUUCAAUGCAACAUAAACAAAAAAAAUUAAUAGACACAGGUUGAUUCCAAUAAUAACACACCAAUCGACCAAUAUCAAAGGAGAAGUCGGCAACGCCGCGGUCCUUGAAGAACUUGCUCACUUCUUCGAGCACUUGCGGGCGGUCCAGAUCCCACUCAUGCGUGCACCCUGAACACCUAGGAUCUCACCAAAAAAAUAUAUAUAUACAUUAAUAAAAAAUAAUUUAAGGGUCCUGCUUGGAAUUUGGCUCACUAAUUUCUAAUUUGAUGCGAGAUAACGCAAAAACUUAUCUCCCAUUUCAAUUCGAUCCCCAAAACUCGAUUUGACUCAGGAAAGCUCACUAAAAAGUAAAAACCAGUGUUCCCAAGCCACAAAAAAAUCCGCUUUAUGAGGAUUUAUGCACUAAAUUACACUUUUCGAGCUGAAUUUAAGCUGCUUGCACCAAAUUAGACUUAGCAGAACUAUACAACAGCGAGUUUUCUGUGCCAAAUCAAACUCUUAGGGCCAAAUCGUAGUAAGAACGAAAUUAGUGAGAUUGAUAUGAAAGAGAAAUUUGGGUCAAAUUGCAACUGCGACAAAGUUACCAGAUUUUUGUGAUGGUAAUCAAAAAAAUAAUCAGAAAUAGACGACCAUGAGAAGGGAUUAGGGUUAGGACUUACGAUUGGAAGUGCGGGCACUGGAGAGCGCAAGAAGAAGCGGAGGCGGCGGAGGAGGACGAGGAGGAGGAGGGAGAGAGGGGUUGGAGGUGGAGAUGAUUAGGGUUUUUAGGGCUUCUAGGGUUCUUGUAGGGUUCGGUGCGAGGAGGAGGGGCGGCGGGGGCGAGCCGCGCCGUGACGAACGUCACCGAGAGUAGCGCCGCCACCAUUUUUUCUUUUUUUUUUUUUUUGUUACGGAGCGUCCGCACGAAAAACUGCGUGCGAAUCGCGGAAAGCGAACAAAGCGAACCAACACUGUAGUAGAUGUAUACUGUAACAGCGAGGUACGGAAAUCCUAGAUAUUAGUAACUAGACUAAAUACGAAAUUACCCCUGUAUAAAUUUAAGUAUAAAUUAUUUAUUAAUUAACUUGCUAUAUCUAAUUCGUGCAAAUCUCUUGAUCAGAUGUUCUGAUCGUCCAAAUUCGACCUCUAUCUCUCUCAAAAUGUGCAAAAUGCCUUAUUUAAAGCGAACCAAAUUUAUCAUUUGAUGUCCUCGACCAGGCAUCAAAUUUUGCCGCAUAUUUAUAUCAUCAAAUCAUUUUUUUUAAGAGAAGAUUACAAGUAUGAUAAAAAAUGAAAUUAAAAGCAAUUAUAUUAAAACCAAAUCCAUAAUAGACUGUCACAUUAGACUUUUUUCAUAACGCGGGGGUUUUUUCAUAAUGCGGGGUUCAAGAGAUCGAAAUUAUGAACCUGCAUUUGGUAAUCGUAUUUAUAUAAUUAAAAAGUUGCAAUAAAGUAUUAAGUGAAUAAUUUAGGAACAAAGUCCAUCUAUAUUAUACGCCACACUUUGGAGAGUUUAUAGCAUUGCCUAAACAGUGCAGUCCCAUCAUGGUUCCAACUUUGUUGUUCACUUCCAAAUUUGUAAAAUUUAUUUUCCAACCUCCAACACUUGAUGAAUGAUUACACCCUUCAUCAUCAAGCACAUAUACUAAUUGUGGCCGCAAAACUUAAUGUGUAACAGUUUGAUUUUGAGCACUCUUCGUUUUUCAAAUAUCACCCCUAUCUUCUAUUGGCCGAUCGAAAAGCUGAUCAGCUUGGCCAUCGUACACGAUCUCUUUGCAGAUACCUCCCAUAACGAACGCGUUGGCGCGUAUCCUUCCACAAACUGAACGUCAACUUACGCCGCGUGGAAUGAUAUCAUCCUAGCAGCAGCUCAACGUCAACUGAACGUCAGAGAGCGAGUCUUGCCGCCGAGCUCAGGAACAAAGCAAGCUCUCGUAUGUUCGAACAUUUUAGAUACGGGGCGUCCUGCCUUAGUAACCGAUUCGCGCUCCCCCUCCCGUGUCGUACUCGGUAAACGGCCAUCCUUCGAUAAAUGCGUAAACCUACUUGGCAAUAUGGUUUCCAAAUCUAUAUGAAAACAUAGGUUUGCAACCUGAAGAACAGAAUUUUUCAUAUAAGGACCAAAAACUAUAUAAUGCACUAUAUAAUUUUAAUGUGUGUACUCAAGAAUGUCAAAAAGCUUACUUAUGAGCCAAAUGGACGCAUUGUCUUCGUCGACUCGCAUGCAGGUUCGUACUUGAGAAACUCAACAUGGAGCAUGACAACAAUUUCCCUAGAGAGAGAACAAAUGAUUGAGAUUCUUUUCAGAAAUAGAGGAGAAAACUUUAUUGGUGUUGUUGAAAACCAACCUGUGAAGCUCAUAGUCAUAGCAAUCCACAUUGAUCAAGCCAGAGUGUUUCAUAAGUUUUGUUACAUCCUCCUAUUUCCAAAAUUAAUGCAACACUGUUAGCUAUUACAUUAACUCAUAUAUGUUUUGAGCUAAGAUUACAAAUGUAAAAUUGCACUACCUGUGAGGGGUUGUCUUAAAUUCCGCGAUUCCGGAGCCAAUUGUUAGCAUCUGAUAAAAAGCAGCAUAAAAUAAAAUCAGCAUUUUAGUCAUCUAAACUAGAAAAUAAACUAAUUAAACAAAUUGUAACAAGGCAGAGGUGUAUAUAGUAAACUCUCUCCAAUGAAGCUCUUGACAGAAAUGCCAAGGGGGUGGUCCCAUAUGAUGAGAUAAGUGCUAUGGACUUAAAAUCGCGACUGGACCAUAUCCGCACCCGCUCCCUCAGAAAUACAAGAGCUGUCAAGUAGCUCGUACAGAAAAAUUUUAAAAAAAAAAAAAAAAAACCAAAGCCCAUUUAGUUGCUGUUCAUCUUUACUUGUAUUUAAUAGUUGAUAUGGACUGAUUGUGUUUUAGAAGAGAGAUCCAUUGUGACAUAACUACUUUACAAUUUAAAUUUUCUAGUUAAAUGCACCAAUUGUUAUUUGAAUCCUCACUUAUUUUGGUUUGGUUCCUUACCCUUUCUAGCCAAUAAAAUUUCUAUACAAUGCACAUUCUUCAUUUAAAAAAUCCUUGCAAUAUUUGGCACCUUUAGACCUGAACCUCUACAAAGUACACUAAAUUAAAAAAUUAUGCAAGACACAUGCUGCAUUUAAUACUGAAUUAAACUUAAUUUAUACACAUUCACUGGGUUUAAAUGUAGUCAUUGUUUGAUUGAUAUACCAACCAACGUAGCUCACGUGUUGUGGGCAAAUGUUCCAUGACGAAAUUUGAAAGACAUAUAUCAGGAAAUUACAAAUACACAAGUAAAGAUUUUUAAUAAUUUUUCUUACACUAAAGUUCGCUUGAUGACUUCAAAAGUCAGCAUAAAAACGUAUACAAUUCACACACGAGCUUCUAUUUUCGAGUCAAGAUUAUAUUUGGAUUUAAGCUCGACCAUUUUUUGCACCUGUUUGCAACAACCAACGCACAAUUCAUAUCCAUUUGAUACUAUUUGACAUUUAGAAUUUGUAAUGAACAAUUAAGAGUGUGAGCAUGAGAAUUAAAAGAAGAGGAAAGAACUUUUCUACCAUGAGUGACAACAAAGCAUCCUCCCCUGUUACUAACAAACGUCACAAGUAGCAGAGACAGUCAUGUAACUUAAGCUCAUCCCAAGACCAAGCCCAAUAAGUCCUCACAAAUAAUAUAUUCAUCCAUAAUACAUUAAUGAUUUUGCAAAUCAAAGGUAAGUAAGAUUUUCUUAAAAAUUAGUGGUACAAAGAGAGACCCAAUGUCGUAGGAUAACCGUGCAUAUUGAGUCGAGGAGACUUGACGACACUCCAUCGAUUCCUCUCGUUUCGCGAUCCACGACCUCGAACACCGGUCUGCCCCUAAGACGAAUUCAGCGAUGUUCGGCGAAUUGACGCAGCCAUGUUAUGCCACCCCUGCACAAUGUUUUGACCUCAUGAUGGUAAACACUACCAAUAGUCCAGCACGAAUGAAAAAAUAUCUGAUUGAAAUAUUAUGCAAGACCCCGGUACUUGUAAUAAUAAUGGCUAAACAUUUGAGCCGCUAGUUUUGAACAACGAGUUAUUACGCUAAUUAUUUGGUUGUUCAGUUUUUCUUGGUGUUUCUGUUUUUUUGUUUGUUUUGUUGUUUCUGUUGUUUUGUUGUGUUUGUGUGUUCGUGUUUGAGGUUGUUAAAAUUGUAUCAGAAUCAAAAUACCAAAGUAAAACCAAAGGUGAGAGCUAACUAACAGAUAAAUGCUAUAUCAGGAUUGAUUGAGCAGGCUCCACACCUUAUUAAUAAAAACAUGGACUAAACUUUAAAACCGAUGAUUUGGAACCUAUAACAAAUUAAUUAUUAUAGCGACAAGUCGUAAACAUAAGCAAACUUAAUUCAUUCAGUCACUAUAAUGAUGCCUACACUAAAAAAAAUGACCACAUAAUCCAUCAUAAAAGUAAUUAAUAUCCCUGAUCUUGUUUAAUAAUAAAUAUCAUAAAGAACAGCAUAUAUAUAAUAUCUAUAUAUAUGUACAUAAAUUAAUAUAUGUCAUAUCAAAUUCUCAGAAUAGGCAAAGCAAAAAUAAAAAUCCUUCUAUACAUUAAACCAUAAAGAAAUUUCCAAAUAUGAAAAAACAUAUCACAACAAAUGAACAUACAUAUCUAGAGUAAAAACAAAAAAAAAAAAAAAAAAGUUAUAACCAUACCAUUAAAACCCCAUGUUGCAAUAGCACAGGUUGCCUCCUUUUUCCGUCGUCAUUGCCGCCGCCGCUGCCGUUUACGCCUCCUCCCCCUCUCUGCGGGAUCCUUUGCAUGCUCAAUAUAUAUCCAUCUUGAGUUGUCACCUAAAAAAGCCAAACAUAAAAAAAAAAAAAAAAAAAUUUAACUUCCACAACAUCAGUGUAAUUUCGUACGAAAAUUUGAAUUUAUUCGAAAGAAACUGAUUAAACUUAUAGAAGGAAUUUUCACAUAAACAACCUCAUAUUCUUCACAUUUGUAACCGCGGGGGAUCACCAUCAACGCGCAUGGCCCUGUCGUUUCAGGCGAUGGCACGGCAAUGUCCGACCGAGUAAGCGCGCGAGCUCGAGUGAGACCGAAUUGGAUACAUAAGUAGAGAAGAAUAGAGAGAGUGGUCCAUGCCAUGCCAUUGUAACCCAUAUUUGUUGUUAGUAUAUAUGUUAGUAGAAUAAAAGGAUGCAACAUAUAUAUACUGUAGGGGGGUGGCUUUUAAAAGCUUUUAAAAAAGGAAGGGGGAGGGAAAUUGAGGAGAGAGAGAAAAAGAAGUGUGAAAGCAAAGAGAGAAUUGAGUUUUUUUUCCCCCUACGAUGUGAUAAAUGACUCAAAUGUUGAUGCCUUAAAAAGUGUGGGGCUUCUCUUUUUGGCUUACUUUAUUGGUUAUACGUAUAACAUGUUGUCGAGGGCGUACAGGCUUGGGAUUUAGGAGUUGACGUUCAUUCGGUUUGGGAUAGAUGGGUGGGCAAGAAGGGGCCGCAAUCUACGCCUAAUAGGAUCCCAGAAUUAGCGGCCUGUUUGUGGAUCAUUUGGGAGAACAGAAAUAAUACAAUCUUCAGAAUGAUUCAGCUGGACUCCCUGAGAGUUGUUUGUAAGGCUAAACAGUUGUCGAGCUCUUGGGAUCAAUUUUUGUCGGUUAAUUGGUAAUUUUUUUUUUUUCACCCUUCUCGAGGUCCGGAUGAAUGAAGCGGAUGCCAUGCUAUCUUAUUCUCAAAAAAAAAAAAAAAAAAAAAAAAAAAAACAUGUUGUGGGGAAAUGAGGAUGGGAUUUGAUGCUAAGGCUAGUUGAAGUAAUCAUUGUUGCAGAGUAGUGAAGAAUCAUUAAUGUUCACACUAGAGGGAAAAUUAGUUAAAAGAAAAAGAAAAAAAAAAAGUGGGCAUGAACUUUUGGUUAUUAUGCUUUUGGGGUAGCUUUUAAUUGACUUGAAUAGGCUUUUAUUAUACACACUUUGUAGAUUGAUAUCAUUGAGUGAGGACUAAAGUCCUUGCGUCCAAAUUCACAACCAAAUAAAUAUAAUAUUUUUUAAAUUAAAAUCAAAUCAUCUAUUAACAGAGUAUUUACUAUACGCAGAUCAAAUAAAUAAAGAAAGAAAAUAAUUCCUUUAACUUAUUUUCUAUUUUACUGAGUUUUGCUAAAAUAUAUAUAUAUAUGCGCAUGAGAAAAAAAACAAAAAAUACGAGUUCCCAUAAGAACGUGUAGACAACGUGAGUGCGUUGGGAUAUUGUGGAAACGUAUACAUCAUCCACAAUAGCCUUUUGCGUUACGGAGAGGCCCCAAAGAAAACAUAUAUAUAUACACACAUGCACUGAUCAAUUUUGUUCUCAGGGUUACGUAGAUAGAGAUAUUUUUGAGGAUGGGGUUUGUUAACGAAUUAUUGUAGUUGUUGUUGUUGUUGUUGUUAGAGAGAGAGGGAGAGAGAGAGAGGGAGGGCCACACGUGUGACGUGGCUACAGGAACUCCCUACAACAAACCAAUUUGGGGACCCACCACUUCACACGUGGGAUCCUCUUAACACGUGGAAAUUUGUGAUAAGAGUAUAGAAUUUUUCGUACACAUAAAGUUUUGUUUGGUAUUACGAAAAUAUUACGUUAUAUAUUAUGAGAAAAUAUGAUAAAAAAAUAUCAUAUUAUUUUUGUAUAUAAUAUUGCGUUUUGUAUAUUGCAAUGAGUCGGUUACGAUAUAUUUUUUGCAGUCCCACCGAAGAACGUAGAAAUAUAUCCUUAUAUAUUUUUAUCCCGACUUAAUUUUAUCUAAUAGCGUCAAAUAGACCUCAAUACCAAACUAAGCCUAACUCGUUUUCGAUAAUAGAGCUNNNNNNNNNNNNNNNNNNNNNNNNNNNNNNNNNNNNNNNNNNNNNNNNNNNNNNNNNNNNNNNNNNNNNNNNNNNNNNNNNNNNNNNNNNNNNNNNNNNNGAUUAUAUUGUCAAAUCAUUUGAAAUUUUUCUUAUAUAAAAUGCCAAAUUAUGAAAGGAAAGAUAGAGAGAGAAAAAGGAAAUAAAGAAAAAAUAAAAAUUUUGAAAAUAUAGUAGAUGUAAAAUGACUAAAUUGUCUAUGUAUUAAAAGACAAAAAUAUUCUUUUUUAAGAUACCUGGUAACCGGUACCUUUCCUAAAGUGACCUGCUAUUGUAGGUCACAAUUUAAAAAAAAUUAAAUCUGAACCGUUGAAUACACGUGAAUGAACGGUAACCAACAAAAAAAAGUAUAGAAGCAUUACUCAAAUAAAAAAUAGAAUAGACAUUAAUUUCUCAGAUAUAAUACUAUUAUUAUCGUACCAAGUUGCGUAAAUAAAUAAUUGUAGCUUAGAUAGACCAUUUGCUUAAUUACCCAGCCCAAUGUAGUUGUGGAACAUUUUCUCAUACAAUCCCUCCCCUCUCCCCUCGUCUCUUCGUUCUCUUAAUUUCUACUGCUGCAUUAAUUCUAUCCAUCUAUCUAUCUAUAGAUUCUAUAGAUUCUGUACUAUCAAAAUCGAUAUAUGCAUGGCGGACUGCAUCUGUAAGGUUGUUGAUGCGGCGAUCUCGCCGCUGGUGAGCCUCGUCACGGAGCAUCUGGCGUAUCUUCUUAAAGCGGAGGACAAUUUGGACGAGCUCGAGAAAGUCGCCGCGGAGCUGGCCGCCAGGAGGAAGGAUGUAGACGAGAGGAUCCAGUCCGGCCGCAGAACAACCGGCGGCACUGCGACGAANGCCCUAGAGCUCUCUUAUAUUAGAAAAGUUUCCAUUUUGGCCUGAUCCAACCAAACAUAUAUAAGGUCUUGGCCCAGUAAAUAUUAUAUGGGCUGGGCUGGGCUGGACCAUUUAAGUUUGUGUUCGACCUAUUGAAGUUGUGGGUUCGUUCGCAUCGGGCCUGUAUCACGAGCUCUCCUAGUAGAGACCAGACCAACUUUAAUAGGUUAAUCCGGUACUUGAACAUUUAUGUAAUAAGAAAUCGAUAUCCAUGUUUGGGUAAUCUAGCGUAAAAAAAGAAAGGAACAUAAAGUCCAACGAAAAUAUGGGGAGAUUUUCUUUUAUUUUGUGAGUUUGCAUGUAGCUUGCUAUUCUGUAAAUUUGGAUAUAAACCGCUGUACUAGGCCGAAGUAACAUGCUAGAGUCUUAAAUUUGAACCUUCAUUGAAGAAGGUUAAAGGGUAGUUGUUUCCAUUUUUCAAAAAGAAAUGAUUUUAGUAGAUUCAAUUUUAACACAGAUAGAUUGGUUAUUGUUUCCAAGUUCAAUACUGAAUCUUUAUGAGAAUAAAUGAAUCUUCGUGAGAAUAAAUUUAAACCCUUUUUCAUAAGUUUUAUGACUUUUUUUUUUUUGAUUAAGAUAGGUAGUACGUUACCCGCUUUAUUUAUUUCAUUUAGAAAUAAAUAUAGCUGAAAAUGUGAAUCAAUUAGGAUUCGAACUUGAAAUCUCGGGUACCAACCACCAAACCUUUGCCACUUGCUCAAAGACGGUUAGUAGGCAUCAAAUAUUUCAUAUCUCAAAAUAAGUAACCGAGAUAUACAGAAGUAUAACGCUCUUCUUAGGAAGAAGACAUUUCAACAACACUUUAGUAGCUGCGUAUUGAGCAAACAAAUGGUCUAAUGUUAAGCACGCAUAUUUUCUCACCCUUGUUGGCAUUUUUUUUUUUUUUUUAUUAGUUAUCUAUGCAAAUUUUAUAUACAUAUAUAUUUUUUUACCUGAAAGAAAUUUUAUCGAUCAAACUUAUAAGAAAGUUACUCUGACAGGCACGACAAGUUGGAGAUUGACAACCCGCCGGCGGCGGGAAUAGAAUACCGGUAUCUUGAUCAGGCACUCCAAUUUAUCAACGAUGACGCGGUGAAGAUGGUCGGAAUCUGGGGCAUGGGCGGGGUGGGGAAGACCCACCUCCUCAAGUUCAUCAACAACUCGUUCGCUCGCCAAACUUCUUUCGACGUCGUGAUCUUCGUCACAGCGUCUAGAGAGUGCUCCGUAGCACGGAUUCAAAGCGAGAUUGUGAAUACGCUCGACUUGCCCGCGAUAAACAACGUGCAGGACCAGGCCAGAAUCAUCUCAGACUUUCUGCGCGAAAAGAAUUUUCUCCUGCUGCUGGACGAUCUGUGGGAACGACUCGACCUGGGAGCCGUCGGCGUCCCGAUGCCUUCGGCCGCGGGCGAGCAGCUUAAAAGAAAGGUGGUGUUGACAACGAGAUAUUUGAAAGUCUGCGGCCAGAUGGGUGUAAGCAGGAGGAACAGCAUCAAAGUGGAAUGUCUGGACGGCGACGACGCUUGGCUUCUCUUCCGAGAGACCGUCGGCGAAGACACGAUCGGCUCUAGUCUUGCCGUCGAAGCCCUCGCAAGAAAAGUAGCCAGAAAGCUGGGCGGCUUGCCCCUCGCUCUCAUCACCGUCGGAAGAGCCAUGUAUGAUAAGGAAGAUUCGAGGGAAUGGGGACAUGCCAUCGACCUGCUGCAGGACGCGCGCCACGACGAGGUCGAUCCGGAUGCAGAGGAAGAAAGCUUGUUCCAUACCUUGAAGUUUAGCUACGAUAGGCUACGGAAUGAUGCCUUGAGAGAUUGUUUGUUGUGCUGUUCCUUGUGGCCGGAGGAUUCCUGCAUCCCCAAAAAUGAUCUUAUCCUGNAUAUAAUAUAUAUAUAUUACUAUGUAUAUUACUUUCUUAUUAGGAUAGUAUUAUUUAUUUCUUUGUAUAACAGGAUAUAAUCCUGUACUUCCAUGUAAAGCUUUUCCUCUCUCUAUAUAAGAGAAUGGAUUUAGAUGAAUAAUAUACAGAAAAUUUCUCAAAUCUCUUGUUUCAGUGCUGUUCCUUGUGGCCUGAGGAUUUCUGCAUCCCCAAAAAUGAUCUUAUCCUCUGUUUGUUGGGGUUGGGCGUGAUCGACGGGUUCGACGACAUGCAGAGUGCGUAUAACAUAGGAUACGAUCUCAUAGCUAGCCUGCGAUCUGCAUGCCUGUUGAACGACGACGACCUCGGCUUCGGAGUGAGGGUUCACGAUGUUAUUCGCGACAUGGCACUGUGGAUAGCUUGCAACUGCGGGGAGAGGAAGAAGAAAUGGUUUGUGAAGGCAGGACUGGGGUUGACGGAGGCGCCGCCGCAAGGGACGGGAAUUGUAUGGGGCGAGACCGACUGCGUGUCGUUAAUGCAUAACAGGAUCAAAGCAUUUCACGGCUCUCCCGGCAGUUCCUCCCCCGCCGCACUUACAACCUUGAUGCUGCAAGGUAAUCGGCUACGCAAAAUUUCGCUCGCGGCUUCUCCCUCCCUCGCGGCACUCGCGUACCUAGAUUUGUCUCACAAUAAACUCAACGGUUUCCCGGAAAAUAUAUGUCGGCUGACCACCCUUCGAUACCUCAACUUGUCGUUCAAUCUAAUCCGCGAAUUGCCUGCGGAGCUUAAACUUCUGACUAGCCUCGAGUACUUGAUUCUGCGUGAAAGCAACGUCCGGAUAAUUCCUGCGGGUGUUAUACGCGAACUCGAGGCGCUUCAGAUGCUGGACUUGCGCGGAUUCCUGUCCGGCGCGGUGGAGUAUUUGCCGUGGCUAUUCGAAGAGUUGGAGGCGCUCAAUAACCUGAAGGCUCUAGAGAUCAGUGUGAAGGAUGUGAACCAGUUGAAUCGGCUCGAUGAGUUACGGAGGACGCGAAUUCGGUCCCUCAACAUAUUUCACUUCGAGCAAACGACUCUUCCCUUGUUGGCCACUCCUCUCGGCAGCUCUCGAAUACAGAACAGCUUGUUCGAUCUGGAGAUUGCCGGCAGCACCACUUUAGAGGAGAUAGUAUUCGACGACGCCCGUUCGUAUCGCAACCCGUGUUUUCACAAUCUGGAGAAGCUAUCAUUCGACGCGAUGCAUAGAUUGAACAUUGUGUUGGACCGAUUGGUAGCCAGGGAAGUUUUUCCGAGGCUCUGUACUUUGGAUUUCAGGUAUUGCAACAGCCUGAAGGAUGUUUCUUGGAUCUUGUAUCUCCCGUGCCUUCGCAUACUAGUUAUGCGCUCGUGCCGAAGCGUGACACAGCUCAUUUCUAGUACACAGAACGAUGACGGUAAAGGAGAAGUCGUGGCGGCGCCUACCUUCCCUUCCCUCAAAAGGAUAAGUUUGAUCAACCUGCCGGCGCUGCAAUGUGUGUGUGAUCCUGCAUACACCUUUCCAUGUUUGGAACAAUUUGUGGUUAUAAUGUGCGGGAGGCUUACGAAGCUGCCUUUCCGCGCCGAUACCAUCCCCAAAAACUUGAAGUUUAUUAGAGGUGACGAAACAUGGUGGGAAAGAAUAGAAUGGGAGGACGACGUCUGCAGAACUUCCCUUAAACUUUCGACGUCCACAUUUCUUCCCUUAGGUUCGUCUGAGAAAGGGAUAGCACGUUACGUGCUCAUUCAUUAGGUGGGUCAACUCAGCUACGAGUGAGGCAGCCACGGUCUCGAAAAAAAAAAAGCAUCAGAAAGUAAAAAUAAAAGUAAAAAUAAAAACUAGUAAGAACAUCAAGGUAAAGGAAAUAGAAACAACCAAACUUAGGGCGAAAUGAAAAAUGCCAUCAACCUCGACCAGUCCUACAAAAAUCGGCCCACUCCUUUGCAAGAACUCCGAUAUCAUAAACUUGAGGCGGUAGCGUCCAAGAACUCCGAUUUCUUCCCUUACGUACGUUCCUUCCAUAUAUAUAUAUAUAUAUAUAUAUAUAUAGAGAGAGAGAGAGAGAGAGAGAGAGAGAGAGAGAGAGAGAGAGAGAGAGGUUAGGGCUACUAUCCUAUUAAUAGGAUUGAAGCAUUUGUCCUAUCAAAUUAUUUUUGAUGAUAGAGAUUCCGAAUCGAUGAUCGGAGCCGUUGAAGUUGAUCUAGAAUAUUUGAAAUAUCUAUAAAUUAAAUUUCAUAAGUUUUAAAAAUUAUUUACAUGGUGAUCAAAGUGUUGUAAAAUCGAUAAUUUUUGACGGCCUAUAUGAGCCGUUUGCUUGUUUAACGGUGUAGAGCNACAAUCCAAAUUGCUUGAAUUUUUGAUAGAAAAUUUUUUAUACUAUUUAGAUAAUAUUUGAUAACUCUGAUUAUGAAUUGAGAAAGUCUAAUCUUUAUUUUAAGAAAGUUAUUUAUUUAUGAUCGUUCAUUUUUGAACUCUUAAGAUGAACUUGAUAAUGAUUUUUAAAUAUUACAAAAUUUGGUUUCUAAACAUUCUAAUUGUGUAGAUCAAUUUCAAUGGUGCCGAUUAUCAAUUUGAAGUUCCAAUAAUACAAACGACUUGAUAGGACAAUGGUCUCAAUUCUAUUAAUAGGAUAGUAGCCGGACUAUAUAUAUACAAGAUAGUAGUUUCUCUGAUCUACUGGGCUAGUUGUGUGUUUCCUUUUAGUGAUUCUCCUGUGCGACUUAGAAGCUACUUGCGUGUUUUUUCUCAAUUAUUGUCGGUGUGAGUAGAAAAUUAAUGCAAGUGUAUAAUUGUCUUCAUGUAAUCCAAUUAAUGAUUUUAUUUGUGUAACUAUCCAGCUCACUAGCUCUCUAAUAAUGUAUUGGCCCAAACUAGUAGAGGAGCCAAAAUUAGUUAAACUCAUUCAUUAUCAUUCAUUUUAACCACUAAUAAAUGCCUAAGUUAACCCCUUGGUGCUAAAUACUAUUCACAUACUAUUCGGGGCGUCUGAUUAGAUGUAAUUAUAAAUGCAAUAUAGUUAGAAAUGCAUACCGUUGAAAAUGCAGUAAUUAUAACUAUAUGCAUCAUGUUUGAUUGAAUGUAGUAGAAAGCAUUACAAGUAUAAAUAAUUUGUUUGAUUGUAUGCAGUAGAUAAAUAAUUUUUAAAAUUUUAUCAUUUUAUAUAUAUGAUGCUGAAAUUAACUCCAAUGUAAAGAAAAAAAAAAAAAUUCUAUUUAAAAAAUAAUUGAGCAUAUAACCAUACCUUUUAUGUAAAGUUACUCUCUUCAACUGCUGCAGUUGAAACUACGACUAAUUUGGGCGUAGUUCGAACAGCUACAGUUGAAUUUUCUUCUGUAGUUCCUACUGCAGCAGUUGAAGUUAAAUACAUCAAACCAAACACCGAAUUCGCAUAUGCAUGCAGUUACAACUACAUGCAACCAAACGGCCUCUUCGUAGUAGUCCAGCACCCCUUAGUGCUAAAUACUGUUCACAUACUAUUCAUAGUAGCCUACCUCAACCCAGGGUAAAAUAAGUAUGUAGUCACAUUUUUUACAAUAAUGUUAGCAAUAUAGGUAUUUCUAAUAAUUUCUAUUAAUUAAAGGAGUGUUUCAAAAUUAAAAACUUUUGG
This 17790-nucleotide long non-coding RNA is filed under the name Ananas comosus (pineapple). RNAcentral's name for it is "long non-coding RNA (ACOM_LNC002649)". Lineage: Eukaryota; Viridiplantae; Streptophyta; Magnoliopsida; Poales; Bromeliaceae. The record is from RNAcentral.